UAUAAAGGAAAGUAGCGACAAGAUUUUACACAUCCCUCAUUCAGGUUGGAGAAAGCCGUUUGCAGCAAUCUUGCAGAACUAUUUGUUUCCAUUACUGACAGGAUGGAGUCAGCCAUAACUAAACUGGUGGAUGUCUUCAAGAUUUACGCUGGGAAGGACAAGCGGCUGGGGAAGAAGGAGUUCCAGAAACUGAUGGAGACCGAGCUGAAGAAUUUUAUCACUAAUACAGAAAACAAUAAGGCAGUGAAUGAAUUAAAGGACCAAAUUGACAAGGACAAGGACGGAAAGUUAACCUUCGAGGAAUACUUCUGUCUAGUUACUCAGCUGGCGACAAAUAAAUACAAGCUGCAGUAAAGCCUCAUCAAGAUGUUCCCAUGGCACCGGCCCUGACCGACUGUUGCUCUUCAUCAUUUACUGUUAAGAGUUUUUUUAUUUGAUUUUUUUUAUUAUUAUUUUGUGAGCGUAUAUUGUAUUGUUGAUAUUAUUUUGAUCAAACAUUAUUCAUUGAUGGCAGUUGAUUAUUUUUUGAUGUUAGCCAGCAGAUUUUUAAGGUUUCCUAUAUCCUCACAACAUAUUUUAAAUUUAAGAAACAGAUAUUUUUUUAAGCUUCAUAAACAAAACGCAACGUAAAACAUCACAAUACAAAUGCUUUACACAUUUAUGUGGAUUUUAUGGGGUUUAGGUUUAUAACUUACUUAUAUUGCUGACGUGCCUUUACAGAAUUAAAGAGUGAACCAAUAGACGUUUGAUAAUUCUGGCGAGUGGUGGUCUCGCUGUUUCCUUGUGGUCUUGCCGGCGGCACACAACACACCCACAGAUGAUACGAUACCUCUGCUUGUCUUUACCCACAACCGACAGUUGCUAAAUUUAGUUGCAACUGUGCCUGCAGGUUGUCACACUCAUUGACCUUAACGGCAUCACCAAUUGAAACCUGAGACCAAUGUAUCCACAUCCCUUUGAGCUCAGCUCCAGUCUUCAACACUAUACACAUACACACACACAAACAACCUACACACUCACAAACACACACACACAAACACACACAUACAUACAGACACAACAUAUACCCACACACACACACACACACACACACACACACACACACACACACACACACACACACACACACACACACACACACACACACACACACACACACACACACACACACACACACACACACACACACACACACACACACACACACACACACACACACACAUAUACACACACACACACACACAAACACUCACACACAUAUGAUACAGCCCUUUUGGUGUCAUUCACAAGGGAAUACUUCACUGUUGGAUGAAACACACACAUAGGGAUUCUCUUGUGACAUUAUGUGUGUUUCUAAAUGUUACGGUGUAAAUGUUCUGAAAAUAAACUGCAUUAUUACUUCUGGAAGAAGGCCUGCAUGCCAGUGGACCCAUUUCUGCAUUACGUUACAUUUGACUUUGGUCAUAU
Molecule: long non-coding RNA, 1467 nt
Organism: Gadus chalcogrammus (walleye pollock)
Lineage: Eukaryota; Metazoa; Chordata; Actinopteri; Gadiformes; Gadidae
Exons: 3
Source: RefSeq, a predicted model, not a curated record